This 195-nucleotide unclassified non-coding RNA is filed under the name Staphylococcus aureus. RNAcentral's name for it is "T-box leader as predicted by Rfam". RNAcentral also lists the same sequence under 2 other names. Lineage: Bacteria; Bacillati; Bacillota; Bacilli; Caryophanales; Staphylococcaceae. The record is from RNAcentral.
GACAGACGCGUAAUAUACAUUUAACUUUUCACAGCGAAUUAGGUAAUGGUGAGAGCCUAGUAAAAGCAUGUAUGUUAUAUCACUGGCUUUUUAAUAUUUAAAUAAUGUAAUGAGAGAACUCUAAGUUGAGUUAAUAAGGGUGGUACCGCGAGCAAUCGUCCCUUUUAAUUUAACUUAGAGUUUUUUAAAUUUUUA